This 496-nucleotide ribosomal RNA is filed under the name uncultured bacterium. Its description in RNAcentral is "partial 16S ribosomal RNA". It matches the Rfam family "Bacterial small subunit ribosomal RNA", at positions 28 to 507 of the family's 1533-position model. The record is from RNAcentral.
GACGAGCGCUGGCGGCGUGCCUAAUACAUGCAAGUUGAGCGAUGAAGAUUGGUGCUUGCACCCAUUUGAAGAGCAGCGAACGGGUGAGUAACGCGUGGGGAAUCUGCCUUCGAGCGGGGGACAACAUUUGGAAACGAAUGCUAAUACCGCAUAAUAACUUUAAACAUAAGUUUUAAGUUUGAAAGAUGCAAUUGCAUCACUCAAAGAUGAUCCCGCGUUGUAUUAGCUAGUUGGUGAGGUAAAGGCUCACCAAGGCGAUGAUACAUAGCCGACCUGAGAGGGUGGACGGACACAUUGGCAGUGAGACUGGGCCCCCACUCCGACAGGAAGCCACAGUCGGGAAUCUUCCGCAAGGGAGGAAAGGCUGAUCGAGCAACGCCGCGUGAGUGAAGAAGGUGUUCGGAUCGGAAAACUCUGUUGGUAGAGAAGAACGUUGGUGAGAGUGGAAAGGACGUUAAGUGACGGAACCGACCCAGAAAGGCACGGCUACUACGUG